UUGCCAGCAAGUAAUGGUGGGAACUCAUGGGAUACUGCCGGGGUCAACUCGGAGGAAGGUGGGGAUGACGUCAAAUCAUCAUGCCCCUUAUGUCUUGGGCUUCACGCAUGCUACAAUGGCCGGUACAAAGGGCUGCAAUACCGUGAGGUGGAGCGAAUCCCAAAAAGCCGGUCCCAGUUCGGAUUGAGGUCUGCAACUCGACCUCAUGAAGUCGGAGUCGCUAGUAAUCGCAGAUCAGCAACGCUGCGGUGAAUACGUUCCCGGGUCUUGUACACACCGCCCGUCAAGUCAUGAAAGUCGGUAACACCUGAAGCCGGUGGCCCAACCCUUGUGGAGGGAGCCGUCGAAGGUG
RNAcentral lists this ribosomal RNA (352 nucleotides) under Microbacterium sp. CT39. Its description in RNAcentral is "bacterial SSU rRNA". It matches the Rfam family "Bacterial small subunit ribosomal RNA", at positions 1115 to 1464 of the family's 1533-position model. Lineage: Bacteria; Bacillati; Actinomycetota; Actinomycetes; Micrococcales; Microbacteriaceae. The record is from RNAcentral.